This 402-nucleotide ribosomal RNA is filed under the name Triticum aestivum (bread wheat). RNAcentral describes it as "partial small subunit ribosomal RNA". The record is from RNAcentral. Lineage: Eukaryota; Viridiplantae; Streptophyta; Magnoliopsida; Poales; Poaceae.
AUGGCCACCCCGAUGCUCUGCGACAAGGGCUACCUCCCGGUGAGAGCAGAGUCGCAGCUGGACGCGCCGGUGAGGGAGCUACCGCCGUGCCGCGUCCGGGACCUGGUGGCCAUCACCGGCAGCCGCCACGAGCACGAUCUAGUGCCCAAGCUGCUGGCCCGGGCCGUCAAGGCAGUGAGCACCUCGGCUGGAUUCAUACUCAACACCUUCGAUGUGCUGGAGGCCGACGACCUGGCGACGACCCGGCGAGACCUCACCGACGUGCCAGUGUUCGACGUCGGCCCGCUCCACAAGCUCUCCCCGGCAGCCUCCUGCCGCAGGACCGUGCUUGCCUUGACUGGCUGGACAAACAGUCCCCGGCGUCGGUGUUGUACAUCAGCUUCAGCAGCCUGGCGAGCAUGA